GGAUGAACGCUAGCUACAGGCUUAACACAUGCAAGUCGAGGGGCAGCAUUUCAGUUUGCUUGCAAACUGGAGAUGGCGACCGGCGCACGGGUGAGUAACACGUAUCCAACCUGCCGAUAACUCGGGGAUAGCCUUUCGAAAGAAAGAUUAAUACCCGAUGGUAUAAUCAGACCGCAUGGUCUUGUUAUUAAAGAAUUUCGGUUAUCGAUGGGGAUGCGUUCCAUUAGGCAGUUGGUGAGGUAACGGCUCACCAAACCUUCGAUGGAUAGGGGUUCUGAGAGGAAGGUCCCCCACAUUGGAACUGAGACACGGUCCAAACUCCUACGGGAGGCAGCAGUGAGGAAUAUUGGUCAAUGGGCGCAGGCCUGAACCAGCCAAGUAGCGUGAAGGAUGACUGCCCUAUGGGUUGUAAACUUCUUUUAUAUGGGAAUAAAGUUUUCCACGUGUGGAAUUUUGUAUGUACCAUAUGAAUAAGGAUCGGCUAACUCCGUGCCAGCAGCCGCGGUAAUACGGAGGAUCCGAGCGUUAUCCGGAUUUAUUGGGUUUAAAGGGAGCGUAGGUGGACAGUUAAGUCAGUUGUGAAAGUUUGCGGCUCAACCGUAAAAUUGCAGUUGAUACUGGCUGUCUUGAGUACAGUAGAGGUGGGCGGAAUUCGUGGUGUAGCGGUGAAAUGCUUAGAUAUCACGAAGAACUCCGAUUGCGAAGGCAGCUCACUGGACUGCAACUGACACUGAUGCUCGAAAGUGUGGGUAUCAAACAGGAUUAGAUACCCUGGUAGUCCACACAGUAAACGAUGAAUACUCGCUGUUUGCGAUAUACAGUAAGCGGCCAAGCGAAAGCAUUAAGUAUUCCACCUGGGGAGUACGCCGGCAACGGUGAAACUCAAAGGAAUUGACGGGGGCCCGCACAAGCGGAGGAACAUGUGGUUUAAUUCGAUGAUACGCGAGGAACCUUACCCGGGCUUAAAUUGCAUUUGAAUAUAUUGGAAACAGUAUAGCCGUAAGGCAAAUGUGAAGGUGCUGCAUGGUUGUCGUCAGCUCGUGCCGUGAGGUGUCGGCUUAAGUGCCAUAACGAGCGCAACCCUUAUCUUUAGUUACUAACAGGUCAUGCUGAGGACUCUAGAGAGACUGCCGUCGUAAGAUGUGAGGAAGGUGGGGAUGACGUCAAAUCAGCACGGCCCUUACGUCCGGGGCUACACACGUGUUACAAUGGGGGGUACAGAAGGCAGCUACCUGGUGACAGGAUGCUAAUCCCAAAAGCCUCUCUCAGUUCGGAUCGAAGUCUGCAACCCGACUUCGUGAAGCUGGAUUCGCUAGUAAUCGCGCAUCAGCCAUGGCGCGGUGAAUACGUUCCCGGGCCUUGUACACACCGCCCGUCAAGCCAUGAAAGCCGGGGGUACCUGAAGUACGUAACCGCAAGGAGCGUCCUAGGGUAAAACUGGUAAUUGGGGC
RNAcentral lists this ribosomal RNA (1451 nucleotides) under uncultured bacterium. RNAcentral's name for it is "bacterial SSU rRNA". It matches the Rfam family "Bacterial small subunit ribosomal RNA". The record is from RNAcentral.